AUGGUUUUCAAACUCGACUUCAGGAAGGCUUUUGAUUCUGUCGCCUGGCCUGCCCUUGACAGAAUCUUGGUUGUCCGCGGCUUCUCGCAUACUUUUCGCUCCUGGAUCCAAAACAUUCUCCACACAGGCAAAACUGCUAUCCUCCUAAAUGGCAUCCCCGGCCACUGGAUACAAUGCAAGAAAGGCCUACGCCAGGGCGACCAUGCCUCUCCC
This 213-nucleotide ribosomal RNA is filed under the name Triticum aestivum (bread wheat). RNAcentral's name for it is "partial small subunit ribosomal RNA". Lineage: Eukaryota; Viridiplantae; Streptophyta; Magnoliopsida; Poales; Poaceae. The record is from RNAcentral.